This 374-nucleotide long non-coding RNA is filed under the name Ananas comosus (pineapple). Its description in RNAcentral is "long non-coding RNA (ACOM_LNC042435)". The record is from RNAcentral. Lineage: Eukaryota; Viridiplantae; Streptophyta; Magnoliopsida; Poales; Bromeliaceae.
UUUCCUCAGCCAAUCGGUGAAAUUUGGUCCAGUUAAGCAAUUAAUAUCAAGUAUUUUGGCAAGUGGGUUAGAUGCAGCCAUUUUCUGUAGAAGGUUAAGAUUCUAAUUAGUUAUGUACUUAAUCUUAAUCCAUUUGAUUAGGGUCUUUAAAUCUAAAUGGUACCUCCCACUAAUUUGACGAAUCUCCACACUUCCCGAGCGGAGAAAACGGAAACUUUGUUUACAAGUUUCUAGUGGGUAUUGCGGUCCCAUCUGUUUACACACCACCUCAUCCUGACAGAUUCUUGGCAAUGAGCAAACAAAUAAGUGAACAACUCUUGUUCAAUGCUUCUCAAGCAAAUUGCAAUCUAAUCCUUGGCCUCCAUAAGAUAUAG